Thalassophryne amazonica is the source of this 147-nucleotide long non-coding RNA. RefSeq lists it as uncharacterized. Lineage: Eukaryota; Metazoa; Chordata; Actinopteri; Batrachoidiformes; Batrachoididae. The transcript has 4 exons. The record is from RefSeq and is a predicted model, not a curated record.
GACUCCCAGUGAUCGCUGGUAUUAUGGCUCGAAACCGCUUCCAGGACAUCAUGCGGCACCUGCGCUUCGAUGACAAGGACACACGCAGUGAACGAGUCGCAAAUGACCGGUUUGCUGCAGUCUCUGACAUUUGGGGGUCUUUUGUUA